GAUGAACGCUGGCGGCGUGCUUAACACAUGCAAGUCGAACGGAAAGGCCCUGCUUUUGUGGGGUGCUCGAGUGGCGAACGGGUGAGUAACACGUGAGUAACCUGCCCUUGACUUUGGGAUAACUUCAGGAAACUGGGGCUAAUACCGGAUAGGAUCUCCUGCUGCAUGGUGGGGGUUGGAAAGUUUCGGCGGUUGUGGAUGGACUCGCGGCUUAUCAGCUUGUUGGUGGGGUAGGGGCUUACCAAGGCUUUGACGGGUAGCCGGCCUGAGAGGGUGACCGGCCACAUUGGGACUGAGAUACGGACCAGACUCGUACGGGAGGCAGCAGUGGGGAAUCUUGCACAGUGGGCGGAAGCGUGAUGCAGCAACGCCGCGUGCGGGAUGACGGCCUUCGGGGUGUAAACCGCUUUCGCCUGUGACGAAGCGGGAGUGACGGUAAUGGGUCAAGAAGCACCGGCUAACUACGUG
RNAcentral lists this ribosomal RNA (468 nucleotides) under uncultured bacterium. RNAcentral's name for it is "partial 16S ribosomal RNA". It matches the Rfam family "Bacterial small subunit ribosomal RNA", at positions 28 to 507 of the family's 1533-position model. The record is from RNAcentral.